AUUGAACGCUGGCGGCAUGCCUUACACAUGCAAGUCGAACGGCAGCACGGGUGCUUGCACCUGGUGGCGAGUGGCGGACGGGUGAGUAAUACAUCGGAACGUACCUUAUCGUGGGGGAUAACGCAGCGAAAGCUGUGCUAAUACCGCAUACGCCCUGAGGGGGAAAGCGGGGGAUCGCAAGACCUCGCGCGAUUAGGGCGGCCGAUGCCUGAUUAGCUUGUUGGUGGGGUAAAAGCCCACCAAGGCGACGAUCAGUAGCUGGUCUGAGAGGCCGAGCAGCCAGACGGGGGAUGAGACACGGGCCAGACUCCUGCGGGCGGCAGCAGUGGGGAAUUUUGGACAAUGGGCGCAAGCCUGAUCCAGCCAUUCCGCGUGCAGGAUGAAGGCCCUCGGGUUGUAAACUGCUUUUGUACGGAACGAAAAGGCUCUGGUUAAUACCUGGGGCUCAUGACGGUACCGUAAGAAUAAGCACCGGCUAACUACGUGCCAGCCGCCGCAGUAA
This 502-nucleotide ribosomal RNA is filed under the name uncultured bacterium. Its description in RNAcentral is "partial 16S ribosomal RNA". It matches the Rfam family "Bacterial small subunit ribosomal RNA", at positions 29 to 523 of the family's 1533-position model. The record is from RNAcentral.